GAUCCUGGCUCAGAAUCAAUGCUAUCGGUAUGCUUAACACAUGCAAGUUAAAUGUUNNNNNGAAAAACAUAGCGAACGGGUGAGUAACACGUGAAUUAUCUACCUUUUAAUUCAGGAUAAUUAUUUUUAUAAAAAUACUGAAUAAANUAAAUUAAAGUUUUGUNNAACGUUAAAAGAUGAGUUUGCGCAAGAUUANUGGUAGUUGGUAGUUUAAAAGACUACCAAGCCUAUUAUCUUUAGCUGAUUUGAAAGAAUGAUCAGCCACAUUGGGACUGAGACACGGCCCAAACUUUUUUAAAGGCAGCAGUGGGGAAUUUUGGACAAUGAGCGAAAGCUUGAUCCAGCAAUACCGAGUGAGUGAUGGAGGCUAAUUAGGUUGUAAAGCUCUUUCAUUAAGGAGGAAAAUGACAGUACUUAAAAAAGAAGUUCCGGCUAAUACCCGUGCCAGCAGCCGCGGUAAU
This 461-nucleotide ribosomal RNA is filed under the name uncultured Peronosporales. RNAcentral describes it as "SSU rRNA". It matches the Rfam family "Bacterial small subunit ribosomal RNA", at positions 15 to 524 of the family's 1533-position model. The record is from RNAcentral. Lineage: Eukaryota; Oomycota; Peronosporomycetes; Peronosporales.